RNAcentral lists this ribosomal RNA (344 nucleotides) under uncultured bacterium. RNAcentral's name for it is "bacterial SSU rRNA". It matches the Rfam family "Bacterial small subunit ribosomal RNA", at positions 1141 to 1482 of the family's 1533-position model. The record is from RNAcentral.
UAAUGAGACUGCCGGUGACAAACCGGAGGAAGGUGGGGAUGACGUCAAGUCCUCAUGGCCCUUAUAGGUGGGGCUACACACGUCAUACAAUGGCCGGUACAAAGGGCUGCAAACCCGCGAGGGGGAGCCAAUCCAUCAAAGCCGGUCGUAGUCCGGAUCGCAGUCUGCAACUCGACUGCGUGAAGUCGGAAUCGCUAGUAAUCGUGGAUCAGCAUGUCACGGUGAAUACGUUCCCGGGUCUUGUACACACCGCCCGUCACACCAUGGGAGCGGGUCUCGCCAGAAGUAGUUAGCCUAACCCGCAAGGGGGGGCGAUUACCACGGCGGGGUUCGUGACUGGGGUG